RNAcentral lists this unclassified non-coding RNA (1093 nucleotides) under Hevea brasiliensis (rubber tree). The record is from RNAcentral. Lineage: Eukaryota; Viridiplantae; Streptophyta; Magnoliopsida; Malpighiales; Euphorbiaceae.
GAUGAGACGGUGAAGAACCCCAAGGUAAAGUGAAUUGCGGAUUAUGCAUGUUAUGUUCAUAUUGGAAGUUGCAUUUAGCUGCAUAACAUUGUUUGCUGCAUCAAAAUGAUAUUCAGGCUACCGGGUAUGAUAAAUGCUUUUAUCUGAAAAAGUAAAAAUGUUAAUAUUUUCUGUAAUGUGAAUGCAGCUCUUGUAGUCCUCUAUCAGUUUAGUAGUUACUUGGUUUCUCAGUGGUGCCACUGGGAUAGAGAAUAAACAUAUUGAGAAUAGAUAAUGAAUCAAAUACAGAUUAAAAUAAUUGAAUGGUUAUGUAACUAAAUUGCACAUUACAUGGAAAAGUUUCAUAACAACAAAUUUUUCUGUCAUUCCACUGAAUGAUAUGAUAUCAGCAUAAGGGAGUGCUUAAGUGAAUGUUUUGAUAACCUAUUCAAUUGAUAACGAUUUUUAACCAAUGGUUUAGAGUAUUUGAUGCUCUUAUAAUUGAUGUACUUUAGAAAUUGUCAAGGAUAUUAAAAAAAUGGCGUUAUCUAUAGGUGCAUUACCUUUAUGUUGAUUUCUUUGAUCAAGCAUAUCUUGUUUGUCUAUUUGAAUGUAUGAAAGCAAAAACAGGUUUCAAACCUGACAUGUUAGGUAAACUUAAAAAGGCCAAGUGAAACUCUCUAGUAGGUUAGACCCUAGAUAUUCGCAAGCAGCAUAAUUUAACUUAUUAUUCAUUAUAAUUUUAAUUUAGUUCUAUUAUAAAUACUGGUGUAUUGUUCAAAUAAGGUUGAAUGUGGCUGUAUCUUGUUCAAUCUUGCUCCUAGCCUCCUAGUAUUAGUUGCUCAAAAUGCAGUGGUAUUAUCAUACUUAUGCAUUUAACUUAUUAGUCAUUAUAAUGGUGAAAUAUGCUGCAAAAUAAUACAUAUUCGAUUAACUUAGCCAUCUUGUAAUUAAGAAGUGUCCUAAAUAUUUUCCUAUUAGUUGAUUUUUUUAUUGGAUUAGAAUAUAUAUCAAAGCCUACUGAAGCUUAGAUGUCAUGUGCUUGAAUUAAAAUUUCAACUUUCUGAUGGUUUCCGUUUUUUAAAUCUAUAGUCUGAAAGUGCUCAGGGAGAAG